Molecule: ribosomal RNA, 465 nt
Filed under: Vreelandella stevensii
Lineage: Bacteria; Pseudomonadati; Pseudomonadota; Gammaproteobacteria; Oceanospirillales; Halomonadaceae
Description: partial 16S ribosomal RNA
Rfam family: Bacterial small subunit ribosomal RNA
Source: RNAcentral
CCUACGGGGGGCUGCAGUGGGGAAUAUUGGACAAUGGGGGGAACCCUGAUCCAGCCAUGCCGCGUGUGUGAAGAAGGCCCUCGGGUUGUAAAGCACUUUCAGUGAGGAAGAACGCCUGGUGGUUAAUACCCAUCAGGAAAGACAUCACUCACAGAAGAAGCACCGGCUAACUCCGUGCCAGCAGCCGCGGUAAUACGGAGGGUGCGAGCGUUAAUCGGAAUUACUGGGCGUAAAGCGCGCGUAGGUGGCUUGAUAAGCCGGUUGUGAAAGCCCCGGGCUCAACCUGGGAACGGCAUCUGGAACUGUCAAGCUAGAGUGCAGGAGAGGAAGGUAGAAUUCCCGGUGUAGCGGUGAAAUGCGUAGAGAUCGGGAGGAAUACCAGUGGCGAAGGCGGCCUUCUGGACUGACACUGACACUGAGGUGCGAAAGCGUGGGUAGCAAACAGGAUUAGAUACCCUAGUAGUC